UACGGAGGUUGCAAGCGUUAUCCGGAUUUAUUGGGUUUAAAGGGUCCGUAGGCGGAUCUGUAAGUCAGUGGUGAAAUCUCACAGCUUAACUGUGAAACUGCCAUUGAUACUGCAGGUCUUGAGUGUUAUUGAGGUAGCUGGAAUAAGUAGUGUAGCGGUGAAAUGCAUAGAUAUUACUUAGAACACCAAGUGCGAAGGCAGGUUACUAAGCAACAACUGACGCUGAUGGACGAAAGCGUGGGGAGCGAACAGG
This 253-nucleotide ribosomal RNA is filed under the name uncultured bacterium. RNAcentral describes it as "partial 16S ribosomal RNA". It matches the Rfam family "Bacterial small subunit ribosomal RNA", at positions 524 to 776 of the family's 1533-position model. The record is from RNAcentral.